This is a non-coding RNA of Pelobates cultripes (western spadefoot toad), 351 nucleotides long. The record is from the annotation of a GenBank genome assembly. Lineage: Eukaryota; Metazoa; Chordata; Amphibia; Anura; Pelobatidae.
AUAGUGUUCCCUUAAGCAAAUUAAAGGACAUUUCUGGUCACCAUAACAACUUCACCUAAAUGAAAAUGCUAUGAUGCCAGGAAGCCCCUGGGUGCUCGCUUUCCUUUAAGGGGUUAAAUCGCUCUCAAAUGGUUUAACCCCAAAGGCUUCCUCCAGCUCCAGGUCGCUCAGUGGUAUUUGGCUUCUGAAACGGAGUGUCAGUAAGUGCAGAUUGACGUCAGGCAUGGGUGCCGCUGAUUGGCCAGAGUGGACAGAUGACGCUCUAAGCCAAUCGCUACUUCCCGGUUCAUAAAAUAUUUUUACUUUUUUAUGAAUGGGGAGCUACUGAUUGGCUUAGAGUGCCAGCUGACC